UCAACAAUUGUAUGCAGAGGAGAGUAGAGGCAGCAGUAAACCAAACACUCGUAAGGGACGGCCAUUAAAUCAAGGGAUCCCGACCUGCCCUGGAGGAAUUGUAAGAACAUGAGAGUAAAUAUGAGAACCAAAGAACAUGAUAACAAGAAAAUCAAGGAAUAUGAAAACUAGGGUAUGUGAAAACCAAAGAAUAAGGAAACCAAGAAAUAUGCAAACAUGGGAACGUAGAAAAGAGGGAAUAUAGGAAUGAAGGAGCAUGGAUGAACAAGGAAAUGGAUGGAUGUGUCAAAGAUUGUAGUACC
RNAcentral lists this long non-coding RNA (302 nucleotides) under Physcomitrium patens. RNAcentral describes it as "long non-coding RNA (PPAT_LNC009265)". Lineage: Eukaryota; Viridiplantae; Streptophyta; Bryopsida; Funariales; Funariaceae. The record is from RNAcentral.